Molecule: ribosomal RNA, 378 nt
Filed under: uncultured organism
Description: bacterial SSU rRNA
Rfam family: Bacterial small subunit ribosomal RNA
Source: RNAcentral
CGUAGGGUCCGAGCGUUGUCCGGAAGUUAUUGGGGCGUUAAAGGGCUUGUAGGCGGUUCGUUGCGUCGGAAGUGAAAACUCAGGGCUUAACCCUGAGCCUGCUUCCGAUACGGGCGAACUAGAGGGAUGCAGGGGAGAACGGAAUUCCUGGUGGAGCGGUGGAAUGCGCAGAUAUCAGGAGGAACACCGGUGGCGAAGGCGGUUCUCUGGGCAUUUCCUGACGCUGAGAAGCGAAAGCGUGGGGAGCAAACAGGCUUAGAUACCCUGGUAGUCCACGCCGUAAACGGUGGGCACUAGGUGUGGGGGACAUUCCACGUUCUCCGUGCCGAAGCUAACGCAUUAACGUGCCCCGGCCUGGGGAGUACGGCCGCAAGGCUA